Molecule: ribosomal RNA, 490 nt
Filed under: uncultured soil bacterium
Lineage: Bacteria
Description: bacterial SSU rRNA
Rfam family: Bacterial small subunit ribosomal RNA
Source: RNAcentral
AGGUGCGGAACGCGUACGCAAUUUACCCUUGUCUGGAGCAUAGCCCGGAGAAAUCCGGAUUAACGCGCAUAGGAUAUUGGCAUCUAAAAAUUUGGACAAGGAUGAGCGUGCGUCCCAUUAGCUAGUUGGUAGGGUAACGGCCUACCAAGGCAACGAUGGGUAGCUGGUGUGAGAGCACGACCAGCCACACGGGGCCUGAGACACGGGUCCGACUCCUACGGGAGGCAGCAGUGAGGAAUAUUGGUCAAUGGGCGCAAGCCUGAACCAGCCAUGCCGCGUGAAGGAUGAAGGCCUUCGGGUUGUAAACUUCUUUUAUGUGGGAAGAAUGACGGUACCAUAGGAAUAAGCACCGGCUAACUCCGUGCCAGCAGCCGCGGUAAUACGGAGGGUGCAAGCGUUAUCCGGAUUUACUGGGUUUCAAGGGUGUGUAGGCGGGCACUUAAGUAAGUGGUGAAAUCUCCGGGCUCAAACCGGAAACUGCCAUUGAUAC